Molecule: ribosomal RNA, 253 nt
Filed under: uncultured bacterium
Lineage: Bacteria
Description: partial 16S ribosomal RNA
Rfam family: Bacterial small subunit ribosomal RNA
Source: RNAcentral
UACAGAGGGUGCAAGCGUUAAUCGGAUUUACUGGGCGUAAAGCGUGCGUAGGCGGUUCGCUAAGUCGGUUGUGAAAUCCCUGGGCUUAACCUGGGAACUGCAGUCGAUACUGGCGGACUAGAGUACGGUAGAGGGUGGCGGAACUCCGGGUGUAGCGGUGAAAUGCGUAGAGAUCCGGAGGAAUACCAGAGGCGAAGGCGGCACCCUGGGUCUGACCUGACACUGAUCCGCGACAGCAUGGGGAGCGAACGGG